This 256-nucleotide ribosomal RNA is filed under the name uncultured bacterium. RNAcentral describes it as "partial 16S ribosomal RNA". It matches the Rfam family "Bacterial small subunit ribosomal RNA", at positions 524 to 776 of the family's 1533-position model. The record is from RNAcentral.
GACGUAGGUGGCGACCGUUAUCCGGAAUUAUUGGGCGUAAAGGAUGCGUAGGUGGUGUAGUAAGUUAUCGGUGGUAAAUCGAGGCUCAACCUCGUGGAAGUCGGUAAUACUGUUAUGCUAGAGGAUAGGAGAGGUUAACGGAACUCCCUGUGGAGCGGUGAAAUGCGUAGAUAUAGGGAAGAACACCAAUAAAGGCGAAGGCAGUUAACUAUUCUAUUCCUGACAUUGAGGCAUGAAAGCGUGGGGAGCAAAACGG